GAGGUGCCCCGAGGAACAACUUGACCUAGAACUGCCCAGCUUGUAGUGUUUUGAGCUGAACUUUUGUUUACCAGAGACCUGAUUUAUGGUAUUUUGAUAUAGCAGCUGCAAAAAAUUAUAUAAAUUCACACAAUAGAGAGCUCAUCAGUUUCACCAUCUCAUUGUAUUACGCAUCUCUCUUUUUGCAAUGCUGAGGAUAGAACUCAAGGCUCUGUGUGUACUAGACAGCGCUCAUCACUGAGCCCCAUCCCCAACAUCUACUUUUUUUUUUUUUUUUUUUUGGUUUUUCGAGACAGGGUUGCAAUGUAUUCCAGCCUGGCCUGGAACUCCCUAUCCCUGAUGACUGCAAACUUCCAGUCUCCCUGCCUCUCAAGCCCAAGUGCUGAGGUUUCAGGUGCACGCUCUUAGCUGAUGGGACCUUGGGAAAGAGUGAUGGACUGGCACUAUGGAGUUACAUUCCCCCAUCCUACUAUUGCUAUUAUUUUAACUGAAAUAAAGCAUGAGUACAAGAUGGUUUAAAUCAUAAAACAUUAUGAAAUGUAAAAGAUCUCUGUUAUAAUUUUAUUUACUUGAUUAUUUAUGGUCCUGGACGUGGAAGCAUUUGCUCUCUCAUGGAAUGACUGCCCAAGUACUAAAGUUACAAUGUCAAAGUAAGUCUUGGAGGGGAAUAAGAGUUUAUACCAGUUUUGUUUUUCUUCUCCUCCCUCUCCUCUCAGAUACAGGGUCUCUCUGAAUAGCCUUGUCUGUCCUGGAAUUCACUAAGUAGACCAGGCUGGCCUUGAACUCCCAGAGAUCCACCUGCUUCUGCCUCUCCAGUACUGGGAUGAAAGGCCUGCACCACUGCCUAGCCUUUUUUUUUUUUAAUUUUUUAUUAGGUAUUUUCCUCGUUUACAUUUCC
This 898-nucleotide long non-coding RNA is filed under the name Mus musculus (house mouse). Its description in RNAcentral is "predicted gene 27209". Lineage: Eukaryota; Metazoa; Chordata; Mammalia; Rodentia; Muridae. The record is from RNAcentral.